RNAcentral lists this ribosomal RNA (294 nucleotides) under uncultured bacterium. Its description in RNAcentral is "partial 16S ribosomal RNA". It matches the Rfam family "Bacterial small subunit ribosomal RNA", at positions 333 to 619 of the family's 1533-position model. The record is from RNAcentral.
AACCGCCUACGGGAGGCAGCAGUGGGGAAUAUUGCGCAAUGGGCGAAAGCCUGACGCAGCGACGCCGCGUGAGGGAUGAAGGUCUUCGGAUCGUAAACCUCUGUCAGCAGGGAAGAACGGGCACUGUGCUAAUCAGCAGUGAAUUGACGGUACCUGCAAAGGAAGCACCGGCUAACUCCGUGCCAGCAGCCGCGGUAAUACGGAGGGAGCGAGCGUUAAUCGGAAUUACGGGGCGUAAAGGGCUCGUAGGCGGCAUGGCAAGUCAAGGGUGAAAUCCCCGCGCGCAACGCGGGA